UGGGGAAUUUUGGACAAUUGGGCGAAAGCCUGAUCCAGCAAUGCCGCGUGUGUGAAGAAGGCCUUCGGGUUGUAAAGCACUUUUGUCCGGAAAGAAAUCCUUGGCUCUAAUACAGUCGGGGGAUGACGGUACCGGAAGAAUAAGCACCGGCUAACUACGUGCCAGCAGCCGCGGUAAUACGUAGGGUGCAAGCGUUAAUCGGAAUUACUGGGCGUAAAGCGUGCGCAGGCGGUUUGCUAAGACCGAUGUGAAAUCCCCGGGCUCAACCUGGGAACUGCAUUGGUGACUGGCAGGCUAGAGUAUGGCAGAGGGGGGUAGAAUUCCACGUGUAGCAGUGAAAUGCGUAGAGAUGUGGAGGAAUACCGAUGGCGAAGGCAGCCCCCU
Molecule: ribosomal RNA, 384 nt
Filed under: uncultured bacterium
Lineage: Bacteria
Description: partial 16S ribosomal RNA
Rfam family: Bacterial small subunit ribosomal RNA
Source: RNAcentral